Molecule: long non-coding RNA, 578 nt
Organism: Bubalus bubalis (water buffalo)
Lineage: Eukaryota; Metazoa; Chordata; Mammalia; Artiodactyla; Bovidae
Exons: 6
Source: RefSeq, a predicted model, not a curated record
CUGUAACUGAAGUGGCUCCUUCUUCUCUUGCUGUCAAAUUGGCCAUUUCGACAUCUAUUAACUAAUACAUCACUGUGGUGGCUGACAGUGGAGGAUCUGAUGGAAGCUGAAUCUGUGUGCAAGUUCCAGCUCUGCCCCUUCAACCAGGGGAAAAUGACUUGCCUUUCUCUGAGGCUCUCUUUCUAGAUCAUUACAUUGGGUAUUUCUAUUUUGAUCUGAGAACUGGCAGAUUUUACCUGAAUAAGCCUAAAAGGGGAAUCACUCGAGAGGUCUACAACAGCAAACUACCCACAUGGACGGGAAGGCAUUUCUAAAAUACUCUGGAGCCAGAUUACAAGGUUCCAUGACUUGUGAAUGGAACCAGCCAAACAAAAAUCAUCUGAAUUGGGAAAUGAUCAGAGACAAAUUAAGAAGUUAAGCUGUGGAGAAAUCAUGAUGUGUCCCCAGCUCACUAAGCCAGUAACUGAUGUAGACAGGAUGCAAAUCAGCUGUCAGAGAAUAAAGCCUACAAGCUUAAAGAAUCAGCAAACUAAAAUGGACAGGAAUGGGCAAAUUUAAUUCAGAUGACCAUUAUAUCU